GUGGUAGGGGAGCGUUCCAAGGGCUGCGAAGUCGGACCGUGAGGACCGGUGGAGCGCUUGGAAGUGAGAAUGCCGGUAUGAGUAACGAAAAGAAGGGUGAGAAUCCCUUCCGUCGAAAACCUAAGGGUUCCUGAGGAAGGUUCGUCCGCUCAGGGUUAGUCGGGACCUAAGCCGAGGCCGAAAGGCGUAGGCGAUGGAAAACAGGUUGAAAUUCCUGUACCACCUUCUUCCCAUUUGAGCGAUGGGGGGGACGCAGAAAGGAAGGGCAAGCGCGCUGUUGGAUAUGCGCGUCCAAGCCGUUAGGCUGAUGAACAGGCAAAUCCGUUCAUCGUGAAGGCUGAGCGGCGAUGGCGAGGGAAAUAUCAGUACCGAAGUUCCCGUCCCUACACUGCCAAGAAAAGCCUCUAGCGAGGGAAGU
This 418-nucleotide ribosomal RNA is filed under the name Salibacterium salarium. RNAcentral's name for it is "Bacillus salarius Bacterial large subunit ribosomal RNA". It matches the Rfam family "Bacterial large subunit ribosomal RNA", at positions 1225 to 1635 of the family's 2925-position model. The record is from Rfam by way of RNAcentral. Lineage: Bacteria; Bacillati; Bacillota; Bacilli; Caryophanales; Bacillaceae.